This 977-nucleotide ribosomal RNA is filed under the name Salmonella enterica subsp. enterica serovar Enteritidis. RNAcentral describes it as "partial 23S ribosomal RNA". It matches the Rfam family "Bacterial large subunit ribosomal RNA", at positions 583 to 1566 of the family's 2925-position model. Lineage: Bacteria; Pseudomonadati; Pseudomonadota; Gammaproteobacteria; Enterobacterales; Enterobacteriaceae. The record is from RNAcentral.
CUUUGGGUGUGACUGCGUACCUUUUGUAUAAUGGGUCAGCGACUUAUAUUCUGUAGCAAGGUUAACCGAAUAGGGGAGCCGGAGGGAAACCGAGUCUUAACCGGGCGUUAAGUUGCAGGGUAUAGACCCGAAACCCGGUGAUCUAGCCAUGGGCAGGUUGAAGGUUGGGUAACACUAACUGGAGGACCGAACCGACUAAUGUUGAAAAAUUAGCGGAUGACCUGUGGCUGGGGGUGAAAGGCCAAUCAAACCGGGAGAUAGCUGGUUCUCCCCGAAAGCUAUUUAGGUAGCGCCUCGUGAAUUCAUCUCCGGGGGUAGAGCACUGUUUCGGCUAGGGGGCCAUCCCGGCUUACCAACCCGAUGCAAACUGCGAAUACCGGAGAAUGUUAUCACGGGAGACACACGGCGGGUGCUAACGUCCGUCGUGAAGAGGGAAACAACCCAGACCGCCAGCUAAGGUCCCAAAGUCAUGGUUAAGUGGGAAACGAUGUGGGAAGGCCCAGACAGCCAGGAUGUUGGCUUAGAAGCAGCCAUCAUUUAAAGAAAGCGUAAUAGCUCACUGGUCGAGUCGGCCUGCGCGGAAGAUGUAACGGGGCUAAACCAUGCACCGAAGCUGCGGCAGCGACACUGUGUGUUGUUGGGUAGGGGAGCGUUCUGUAAGCCUGUGAAGGUGUGUCGUGAGGCAUGCUGGAGGUAUCAGAAGUGCGAAUGCUGACAUAAGUAACGAUAAAGCGGGUGAAAAGCCCGCUCGCCGGAAGACCAAGGGUUCCUGUCCAACGUUAAUCGGGGCAGGGUGAGUCGACCCCUAAGGCGAGGCCGAAAGGCGUAGUCGAUGGGAAACGGGUUAAUAUUCCCGUACUUGGUGUUACUGCGAAGGGGGGACGGAGAAGGCUAUGUUGGCCGGGCGACGGUUGUCCCGGUUUAAGCGUGUAGGCUGGUUUUCCAGGCAAAUCCGGAAAAUCAAGGCUGAGGCGUGA